UUCUUAUCCAGAGAGGUGGAGGGACUGGCCCUUUGAAACCUCAGCAACAGACAUCUAAGUACUGUGCUAAUUCCAGAAGCGUAGAGCUUGAAGAUAAGAA
Molecule: non-coding RNA, 100 nt
Filed under: Aneurinibacillus migulanus
Lineage: Bacteria; Bacillati; Bacillota; Bacilli; Caryophanales; Paenibacillaceae
Description: SAM-I sequence
Rfam family: SAM riboswitch aptamer (S box leader)
About the family: The SAM riboswitch is found upstream of a number of genes which code for proteins involved in methionine or cysteine biosynthesis in Gram-positive bacteria. The SAM riboswitch acts at the level of transcription termination control.
Source: Rfam by way of RNAcentral